RNAcentral lists this long non-coding RNA (1215 nucleotides) under Linum usitatissimum (flax). Its description in RNAcentral is "long non-coding RNA (LUSI_LNC007615)". The record is from RNAcentral. Lineage: Eukaryota; Viridiplantae; Streptophyta; Magnoliopsida; Malpighiales; Linaceae.
UAUUUGCAAAUCAAUCGUCGUUAUGUUAAUGUUAAUUAAAAUAUUACAUCGAUUCAAAUACUUGCAAAGUUUCAUGUUUUUAAGUUUACAACUUUAACUUAUAAAUAUCAAAUAGGAUUAAAGAAGUUAUGACUUUUAUUCUAUUAUUAAUCUUCACUUAUUUCAGUUUUAUUCCACUCUUAAUAAGGCCUUAAUGAGACAUGAAUACAAUUGAAUAAACUAAAGGCUGGGCGUUCUGAACCAAUUGAGCUCGUCCUAAUAGCAAUAGACGGGUCGAAACGGGGGACAAGAAGGCCGAGCCCGCGCGCGCCAAACCGGUCGAAAAGAUGAAAUUGCCCCUCGAGGUCUGCGCGCUGAUGAAGGGAGAUGGACAAUUUUAUAACUUCACCCUAACCCUAAUCGUGCAUAUAAAAGGGCCUCUUAAAUCGAAAAACUCUACCUUCUCUCGUUCCUCCUCCUCCUCUUUCUCUCGGCCGCCUCUUCUCCGCCACCUUCGCUGCCACCUAUUCGCCGCCUUGUCGCCGCCUUUCGCGUUACCGCCUAACCGCCGCCUCGACGCAGCCUUCGCCGCCGCAUGUAGCCUUCGCCGCCGCCUUUGCUGCCGCCUUCGCCACUUUUGCUGCCGCCUUCGCCACUUUUGCUGCCGCCUUUGCCGCCGCCUACGUCGUUGCCUCUCCACCUCCUUUGCCGCAGCUUCGCCCACCAACGGCGGCGUCACCACUGUCGUGACUCUCCUUUCCUCUUUUUUCUUCUUCUUCUUUUCCUAGUCCUCCUUUAUUUAUUCACCUCCUCUUCCUCUCUUCCCCCGGUGCCGUCCCCGCUCCUCUCCAUCUUCUCCCUCUCUUCUGUCUAUCUCUGUUUAUCACUGGUGGCCGCCGCCGCUUCCGCCUCCUAUCCUCUCUGUCGGCCCUCAUUAAUGAGAAAAAUGAAGAAAACGUAAAAAAAAAACUCUAAAACCCAUCUCUUACUCACGUUUUUGCUGAUUUUUUCCAGAUCAGGGCUUGCAUGUCGUCAGAGGAUGCUCCAACGAGUCUUCCGGUGAUAUACAAGCCCCGAUCUGUAGAUCUAGGCUUGAAUACUUUUCUUAAAUUGUUUUUCCGACCUUGUUGCUUUGUUUGGUAUGUUUUUUUUCGUGUUUGGGGGUGGAAUCGACGGUGAGGAAGCAGAAGACCUGGGUGGUAUGUAGGCCACGACGCCGGCGGCGGCGAAGGAGAG